Long non-coding RNA from Myotis davidii, 169 nucleotides. RefSeq lists it as uncharacterized. The transcript is spliced from 2 exons. NCBI's taxonomy places the organism in Eukaryota, Metazoa, Chordata, Mammalia, Chiroptera, Vespertilionidae. The record is from RefSeq and is a predicted model, not a curated record.
CACGUCCACAGCAAUUAGAGCAAAAGGACAGAGAACCAGUUCUCUAAGAGCAGGAACUUUGUAUGUCUUUGAUCAUUGCUGUCUUCCAGAGCCUAGAAUAGAACCUGGCACACAGUAGAUGCUCAAUGUUGUAUUUAUUAAAUGAAUGAAAUUAAAUGGAACAAACAUA